This 337-nucleotide long non-coding RNA is filed under the name Anser brachyrhynchus (Pink-footed goose). RNAcentral's name for it is "lncRNA (ENSABRG00000009703.1)". The record is from RNAcentral. Lineage: Eukaryota; Metazoa; Chordata; Aves; Anseriformes; Anatidae.
AUCAGAUUAUCCUCAAUAGCCAUCCCUGUGGCUUGCAGCUCCAGGAAUUUCACUGCUAAAACUGCAACUCCUGUGGAAGAACAGAUGCCUGUAGGGAGCCGAGGGACUGCUGUAGCAGCAAAGACUGUCUCAUUUGGCAAGUUCUUGGUUAUUGCAAACUGCCUCAUCCCAAGAUGAGAAUUAUUGUGUGAGGAUGUGCUCACAUCUAUUCCAGGCUGCAAACGGCUGAGCACACCGGCAAGUGAUGCUGAAAAUAUUGAUAUAUUUGCAGUGUGGGAGACUGACACGGUUGGUUCACUUAAAAGAAGGCUUAUUUUUCAUGAUGUUAUGAAACUUC